UCCGGGGGGCUAUACUGCAAGUCGUACGCACUGGGCCCAACUGAUUGAUGGGCUUGCACCUGAUUGACGAUGGAUCACCAGUGAGUGGCGGACGGGUGAGUAACACGUAGGUAACCUGCCCCGGAGCGGGGGAUAACAUUUGGAAACAGAUGCUAAUACCGCAUAACAACAAAAGCCACAUGGCUUUUGUUUGAAAGAUGGCUUUGGCUAUCACUCUGGGAUGGACCUGCGGUGCAUUAGCUAGUUGGUAAGGUAACGGCUUACCAAGGCGAUGAUGCAUAGCCGAGUUGAGAGACUGAUCGGCCACAAUGGAACUGAGACACGGUCCAUACUCCUACGGGAGGCAGCAGUAGGGAAUCUUCCACAAUGGGCGCAAGCCUGAUGGAGCAACACCGCGUGAGUGAAGAAGGGUUUCGGCUCGUAAAGCUCUGUUGUUGGAGAAGAACGUGCGUGAGAGUAACUGUUCACGCAGUGACGGUAUCCAACCAGAAAGUCACGGCUAACUACGUGCCAGCAGCCGCGGUAAUACGUAGGUGGCAAGCGUUAUCCGGAUUUAUUGGGCGUAAAGCGAGCGCAGGCGGUUGCUUAGGUCUGAUGUGAAAGCCUUCGGCUUAACCGAAGAAGUGCAUCGGAAACCGGGCGACUUGAGUGCAGAAGAGGACAGUGGAACUCCAUGUGUAGCGGUGGAAUGCGUAGAUAUAUGGAAGAACACCAGUGGCGAAGGCGGCUGUCUGGUCUGCAACUGACGCUGAGGCUCGAAAGCAUGGGUAGCGAACAGGAUUAGAUACCCUGGUAGUCCAUGCCGUAAACGAUGAGUGCUAGGUGUUGGAGGGUUUCCGCCCUUCAGUGCCGGAGCUAACGCAUUAAGCACUCCGCCUGGGGAGUACGACCGCAAGGUUGAAACUCAAAGGAAUUGACGGGGGCCCGCACAAGCGGUGGAGCAUGUGGUUUAAUUCGAAGCUACGCGAAGAACCUUACCAGGUCUUGACAUCUUGCGCUAACCUUAGAGAUAAGGCGUUCCCUUCGGGGACGCAAUGACAGGUGGUGCAUGGUCGUCGUCAGCUCGUGUCGUGAGAUGUUGGGUUAAGUCCCGCAACGAGCGCAACCCUUGUUACUAGUUGCCAGCAUUAAGUUGGGCACUCUAGUGAGACUGCCGGUGACAAACCGGAGGAAGGUGGGGACGACGUCAGAUCAUCAUGCCCCUUAUGACCUGGGCUACCACGUGCUACAUGGACGGUACAACG
RNAcentral lists this ribosomal RNA (1244 nucleotides) under Limosilactobacillus reuteri. RNAcentral describes it as "bacterial SSU rRNA". It matches the Rfam family "Bacterial small subunit ribosomal RNA", at positions 38 to 1244 of the family's 1533-position model. Lineage: Bacteria; Bacillati; Bacillota; Bacilli; Lactobacillales; Lactobacillaceae. The record is from RNAcentral.